CCUCCCAAGCCAGUACCCAAGACUCUGACCCCAUGGAAGGGACCUCAGCAGCUGCAAAUUCCUCAAGCCUCCCUCCUCCAUCCCGAAGGUUAUCACAGAUAAGGCGUCGUAAGAAGAAGACGCGGGAGGACAUGUUUUCUGAAAUUAUGCAAUCCAGCAGGAGUGACAGAGCUCAUCUGAAUGAGUGGAAGGAAACAGUUUCAAAGUAUAGGAAAGAAGUCAGUGAACGUGAGGAGAGGAGGGACCAACGUGAGGAGAGGAGGGACCAACGUGAGGAGAGGAGAGACGAUCGAGAUGAGAGAUGGCGGCAGGAAGACCAGAGGAUGAAGGAUGCAACGCUGGGGCUGCUCCGGCGUCUGGUGGAGGUUCAGGAACGGCUGCUGGAAAACAGACUGCCGCUUCAGCCCCUGUUCCACCCUCCCCCCUCCCCAUGUUCCGUAUCCUCCUCACCCAGACGUGUAAGAACGCGGGGGGGGAGGCUCCGUACACCUUCCCAUUCCACCCCAGUAGACAGCCCAAGCAAAAGGCUGUCAUUUUUUUAACCUUUUCUUUGUGGCUUUCUCCUUCCCAGCAAUCCUCCUCCCAAAUACCACCCGGGUUCCCUCCCUCUUUUUCUAAUCUAUUAAUAAAGAAUAAAUGAUUUUUAAA
Malaclemys terrapin pileata is the source of this 648-nucleotide long non-coding RNA. RefSeq lists it as uncharacterized. NCBI's taxonomy places the organism in Eukaryota, Metazoa, Chordata, Testudines, Emydidae. The transcript has 2 exons. The record is from RefSeq and is a predicted model, not a curated record.